UACGUAGGGGGCAAGCGUUGUCCGGAAUCAUUGGGCGUAAAGAGCGCGUAGGCGGCCCGACAAGUCCGCUGUGAAAGUCAAGGGCUCAACCCUUGAAUGCCGGUGGAUACUGUCGGGCUAGAGUCCGGAAGAGGCGAGUGGAAUUCCUGGUGUAGCGGUGAAAUGCGCAGAUAUUGGGAGGAACACCAGUGGCGAAGGCGGCGAUCUGGGAAGAUACUGACGCUGAGGUGCGAAAGCGUGGGGAGCAAACAGG
Molecule: ribosomal RNA, 253 nt
Filed under: uncultured bacterium
Lineage: Bacteria
Description: partial 16S ribosomal RNA
Rfam family: Bacterial small subunit ribosomal RNA
Source: RNAcentral